RNAcentral lists this ribosomal RNA (406 nucleotides) under uncultured Gammaproteobacteria bacterium. Its description in RNAcentral is "bacterial SSU rRNA". It matches the Rfam family "Bacterial small subunit ribosomal RNA", at positions 8 to 412 of the family's 1533-position model. The record is from RNAcentral. Lineage: Bacteria; Pseudomonadati; Pseudomonadota; Gammaproteobacteria.
AGAGUUUGAUCCUGGCUCAGAUUGAACGCUGGCGGCAUGCCUAGCACAUGCAAGUCGAACGGUAACGCAAGAAGCUUGCUUCUUGGCGACGAGUGGCGGACGGGUGAGUAAUGCUUAGGAAUCUGCCCAGUAGUGGGGGACAACUCNAGGAAACUCGAGCUAAUACCGCAUACGCCCUAUGGGGGAAAGUGGAGGAUCUUCGGACUUCACGCUAUUGGAUGAGCCUAAGUCGGAUUAGCUUGUUGGUGGGGUAAAGGCUCACCAAGGCGACGAUCCGUAGCUGGUCUGAGAGGACGAUCAGCCACACUGGGACUGAGACACGGCCCAGACUCCUACGGGAGGCAGCAGUGGGGAAUAUUGGACAAUGGGGGCAACCCUGAUCCAGCAAUGCCGCGUGUGUGAAGAA